RNAcentral lists this unclassified non-coding RNA (397 nucleotides) under Hevea brasiliensis (rubber tree). Lineage: Eukaryota; Viridiplantae; Streptophyta; Magnoliopsida; Malpighiales; Euphorbiaceae. The record is from RNAcentral.
GGUGGCUUUAGAUACUAAUGGUACCUGGGAAUUGGUGCCUAUACCACGAGAUAAGAAAGCUAAUGGGGUUUUCACAGUAAAAAUGAAUCCAGAUGGGUCUGUUGCUCGAUUAAUUAUACUCGGUCUUAUGGAGUUAAUUAUUCUGACGCCUUUCUCCUAUUGCCAAGCUUGCUUUUGUUCGAUUGUUUAUUUCUUUGGCAGCCACAUAUGACUAGCGUUUACAUCAACUAGAUAUCAAAAGUGCUUUCCUUUAUGGUAAUCUUCAAAAGGAAGUUUAUAUGGAGUAACGACUUGGUUUUGUUGCUCAGGGGUAGUUGGAAAAGGUUUGUAGGCUUUAGAAAUCUUUUUAUGGUUUAAAACAAAGUCCUCGGGUUUGGUUUGGAAGAUUUAAUGAGGC